UACGUAGGGACCAAGCGUUGUUCGGAUUUACUGGGCGUAAAGGGCGCGUAGGCGGCGCGUUAAGUCAGCUGUGAAAUCUCCAAGCUUAACUUGGAACGGUCAGCUGAUACUGAUGUGCUAGAGUGCAGAAGGGGCAACCGGAAUUCUUGGUGUAGCGGUGAAAUGCGUAGAUAUCAAGAGGAACACCUGAGGUGAAGACGGGUUGCUGGGCUGACACUGACGCUGAGGCGCGAAAGCUAGGGUAGCAAACGGG
This 253-nucleotide ribosomal RNA is filed under the name uncultured bacterium. Its description in RNAcentral is "partial 16S ribosomal RNA". It matches the Rfam family "Bacterial small subunit ribosomal RNA", at positions 524 to 776 of the family's 1533-position model. The record is from RNAcentral.